GGCUCAGGACGAACGCUGGCGGCGUGCCUAAUACAUGCAAGUCGAGCGGAUAGAUGGGAGCUUGCUCCCUGAUGUUAGCGGCGGACGGGUGAGUAACACGUGGGUAACCUGCCUGUAAGACUGGGAUAACUCCGGGAAACCGGGGCUAAUACCGGAUGGUUGUUUGAACCGCAUGGUUCAAACAUAAAAGGUGGCUUCGGCUACCACUUACAGAUGGACCCGCGGCGCAUUAGCUAGUUGGUGAGGUAACGGCUCACCAAGGCAACGAUGCGUAGCCGACCUGAGAGGGUGAUCGGCCACACUGGGACUGAGACACGGCCCAGACUCCUACGGGAGGCAGCAGUAGGGAAUUUUCCGCAAUGGACGAAAGUCUGACGGAGCAACGCCGCGUGAGUGAUGAAGGUUUUCGGAUCGUAAAGCUCUGUUGUUAGGGAAGAACAAGUACCGUUCGAAUAGGGCGGUACCUUGACGGUACCUAACCAGAAAGCCACGGCUAACUACGUGCCAGCAGCCGCGGUAAUACGUAGGUGGCAAGCGUUGUCCGGAAUUAUUGGGCGUAAAGGGCUCGCAGGCGGUUUCUUAAGUCUGAUGUGAAAGCCCCCGGCUCAACCGGGGAGGGUCAUUGGAAACUGGGGAACUUGAGUGCAGAAGAGGAGAGUGGAAUUCCACGUGUAGCGGUGAAAUGCGUAGAGAUGUGGAGGAACACCAGUGGCGAAGGCGACUCUCUCUAGU
RNAcentral lists this ribosomal RNA (732 nucleotides) under Bacillus subtilis. RNAcentral describes it as "bacterial SSU rRNA". It matches the Rfam family "Bacterial small subunit ribosomal RNA", at positions 21 to 735 of the family's 1533-position model. RNAcentral also lists the same sequence under 1 other name. The record is from RNAcentral. Lineage: Bacteria; Bacillati; Bacillota; Bacilli; Caryophanales; Bacillaceae.